Molecule: ribosomal RNA, 634 nt
Filed under: uncultured Fibrobacter sp.
Lineage: Bacteria; Pseudomonadati; Fibrobacterota; Fibrobacteria; Fibrobacterales; Fibrobacteraceae
Description: bacterial SSU rRNA
Rfam family: Bacterial small subunit ribosomal RNA
Source: RNAcentral
ACGGCCCACCAAGGCGACGAUCGGUAGCCGGCCUGAGAGGGUGAUCGGCCACAUUGGGACUGAGAUACGGCCCAGACUCUACGGGAGGCAGCAGUAGGGAAUAUUGCACAAUGGGGGAAACCCUGAUGCAGCAACGCCACGUGUGGGAAGAAGCAUUUCGGUGUGUAAACCACUGUCAUGAGGGAAUAAGGCUCCCUCCGGGCGGGAUUGAAUGUACCUUGAGAGGAAGCACCGGCAAACUCGUGCCAGCAGCCGCGGUAAUACGAGGGGUGCAAGCGUUGUUCGGAAUUACUGGGCGUAAAGGGAGCGUAGGCGGAGAUUCAAGCGGAUUGUACAAUCCCGGGGCCCAACCCCGGCUCUGCAGUCCGAACUGGAUCUCUUGGAUAGUUCAGGGGCAGGCGGAAUUCCUGGUGUAGCGGUGGAAUGCGUAGAGAUCAGGAAGAACACCGAUGGCGAAGGCAGCCUGCUGGGGACUCAUCGACGCUGAGGCUCGAAAGUGCGGGUAGCAAACAGGAUUAGAUACCCUGGUAGUCCGCACCGUAAACAAUGCAUACUGGGUGUCCGGGGGUUCCCCCGGGUACCGUAGCCAACGCGUUAAGUAUGCCGCCUGGGGAGUACGUACGCAAGUAUGAAA